RNAcentral lists this ribosomal RNA (254 nucleotides) under uncultured bacterium. Its description in RNAcentral is "partial 16S ribosomal RNA". It matches the Rfam family "Bacterial small subunit ribosomal RNA", at positions 524 to 776 of the family's 1533-position model. The record is from RNAcentral.
UACGUAGGGAGCGAGCGUUGUCCGGAUUCAUUGGGCGUAAAGAGCUCGUAGGCGGCUUGAUUAGUCGGAUGUGAAACCUCCAGGCUCAACCUGGAGUCGCCAUCCGAUACUGUCAUGGCUAGAGUCCGGUAGGGGCCCACGGAAUUCCUGGUGUAGCGGUGAAAUGCGCAGAUAUCAGGAGGAACACCGGUGGCGAAGGCGGUGGGCUGGGCCGGCACUGACACUGAGGCACGAAAGCGUGGGGAGCAAACAGG